UGCCACCACAUAGUGAUUGGGGGCACCUUUUUCUGAGGGGAAGAGAGAACAGGCAAAGCCUAAAGAGCACAGCAUGUAAAGAGGAACAAGCAGAGGAAAAUUCCGAGACCGGCAGUCGAUGAAAAACUGGGGAUUUGGGUGAAACACUGGCAAGCAUACGUCCUGGGAAAGGUGAAAGUUGGAGACAACCUUAGGAAGAAAGUUGAUGUCUGGGCGCAGUACCACUCUAUCUCUAUGAAAAGUCAGAUUGUCAAGUGGAGAGAGUCCAGAUCAGGCUGCAACAUCACUCCCCGGUCCUGCAUAAGAAGACAAGAUGACAGAGGAAGUUGUAGAAUCGGUGGAAAGGCAUAGAGCAGCUGAUGACUCCAACUCCUGAGGAAGAUAUCACCCAAAGACUUGUGGUGCUUGCCCAUCCUGCUGCAGAACUGGACACACUUCGUGUUGAACCGUGUUGCAAAUAAGUCCAAUGCGGGUGUGCCCCAUCUGCAGAACACUUUCUAUAGUGGCCUCGGGUCUAAUGACCAUUCGUGAUACAGGUGCUGCUGAAGAUCUUUGGCAUGCCUUUGACUGAGCAGUUUCGACCACUACUGAAUUAGGAAGACCAGAGCAGCAAGGGGACAACCAGUCUGGCCCCAUUCAUCGGAGAGGGAAGGAGCAGCUGCAGGAAGCCUGCUUCCUCUUCUUUCCCAGUAAAGAACCUUUUGCUUCAACCACCAGUUGCCUGGAGAGGGAAGAAAUAAAAAGAAGCACCCUCCAGCCUCUACCAUCAACCACAG
This is a long non-coding RNA of Hemicordylus capensis (graceful crag lizard), 776 nucleotides long. RefSeq lists it as uncharacterized. The record is from RefSeq and is a predicted model, not a curated record. The transcript is spliced from 7 exons. NCBI's taxonomy places the organism in Eukaryota, Metazoa, Chordata, Lepidosauria, Squamata, Cordylidae.